AGUGAACGCUGGCGGUAGGCCUAACACAUGCGAGUCGAACGGCAGCACAGUAAGAGCUUGCUCUUACGGGUGGCGAGUGGCGGACGGGUGAGGAAUACAUCGGAAUCUACUUUUUCGUGGGGGAUAACGUAGGGAAACUUACGCUAAUACCGCAUACGACCUACGGGUGAAAGCAGGGGAUCUUCGGACCUUGCGCGAUUGAAUGAGCCGAUGUCGGAUUAGCUAGUUGGCGGGGUAAAGGCCCACCAAGGCGACGAUCCGUAGCUGGUCUGAGAGGAUGAUCAGCCACACUGGAACUGAGACACGGUCCAGACUCCUACGGGAGGCAGCAGUGGGGAAUAUUGGACAAUGGGCGCAAGUCUGAUCCAGCCAUACCGCGUGGGUGAAGAAGGCCUUCGGGUUGUAAAGCCCUUUUGUUGGGAAAGAAAAGCAGCAGGUUAAUACCCCGCUGUUCUGACGGUACCCAAAGAAUAAGCACCGGCUAACUUCGUG
RNAcentral lists this ribosomal RNA (492 nucleotides) under uncultured bacterium. Its description in RNAcentral is "partial 16S ribosomal RNA". It matches the Rfam family "Bacterial small subunit ribosomal RNA", at positions 29 to 507 of the family's 1533-position model. The record is from RNAcentral.